AACGAACGCUGGCGGCAUGCCUAACACAUGCAAGUCGAACGAAGGUUUCGGCCUUAGUGGCGCACGGGUGCGUAACGCGUGGGAAUCUGCCCUUUGCUUCGGAAUAACAGUUAGAAAUGACUGCUAAUACCGGAUGAUGUCGCAAGACCAAAGAUUUAUCGGCAAAGGAUGAGCCCGCGUAGGAUUAGCUAGUUGGUGGGGUAAAGGCCUACCAAGGCGACGAUCCUUAGCUGGUCUGAGAGGAUGAUCAGCCACACUGGGACUGAGACACGGCCCAGACUCCUACGGGAGGCAGCAGUGGGGAAUAUUGGACAAUGGGCGAAAGCCUGAUCCAGCAAUGCCGCGUGAGUGAUGAAGGCCUUAGGGUUGUAAAGCUCUUUUACCCGGGAUGAUAAUGACAGUACCGGGAGAAUAAGCUCCGGCUAACUCCGUG
RNAcentral lists this ribosomal RNA (433 nucleotides) under uncultured bacterium. RNAcentral's name for it is "partial 16S ribosomal RNA". It matches the Rfam family "Bacterial small subunit ribosomal RNA", at positions 29 to 507 of the family's 1533-position model. The record is from RNAcentral.